RNAcentral lists this transfer RNA (81 nucleotides) under Hapsidospora chrysogenum ATCC 11550. Its description in RNAcentral is "Acremonium chrysogenum ATCC 11550 tRNA". It matches the Rfam family "tRNA". Rfam says of the family: Transfer RNA (tRNA) molecules are approximately 80 nucleotides in length. Their secondary structure includes four short double-helical elements and three loops (D, anti-codon, and T loops). Lineage: Eukaryota; Fungi; Ascomycota; Sordariomycetes; Hypocreales; Bionectriaceae. The record is from Rfam by way of RNAcentral.
GGCGCUGUGACGGAGUGGUUAACGUGCAGGACUGCUAAUCCUGUUCCUUCGGGAGCCAGAGUUCGAAUCUCUGCGGCGUCG